RNAcentral lists this long non-coding RNA (1492 nucleotides) under Panax ginseng (ginseng). RNAcentral describes it as "long non-coding RNA (PGIN_LNC013065)". Lineage: Eukaryota; Viridiplantae; Streptophyta; Magnoliopsida; Apiales; Araliaceae. The record is from RNAcentral.
UGGAUCCUAAAAAACAUACAUAUUGGAUUCAUAUUUCAGCACAGCCCAACUAAUUUGGGAUAAGGUUGCGUACUUGCGUUGGAUACAAGAUAUCAAUUUAGGAUUUCAUGUGGUCUUUUAGUAUUGUGCUAUUUUAGCUAAACCACAUUCUCCAAUGAUUUGCAAUCUUAUGAGAUAAAAUAUUUGCUUUCAAAUUACAAUAUAUAGUAAUAGGAUCAUUUUUCACUUUGAAGUCAGUUGAAAUAUUUAUAUUUGCAUAUUCAAAAUUGGUAUAAAUUCGUUUAAUUUAAUAUAAUACAAUUAAGAAAAUUGUAACUAUUUAAAAGUGCUACUAAUUACAAUAUUUAUUGUUUUCAAAAAAUCACUUCAAUGUUGAAUUUACAAAAAUCUCAUUAACUUUGAAUAAUCAAACGUGAUAUUAUAUUUCGCAACAGAGGAGUAAUUUCCAAAAUGUAACUAUUAAACAAUUUUUUUUAUGAUGGUGGAACCCUGAUGUCCAAUGAGUCACUGGGAGCACGCAAUAGUCAAUAACUUAUAAACAACGCACACCAGAUAAGCAAUAGUAAACCAUGUUUCACACCAUGAUUUUUUUUCCUUUUUAGUUUCUCGCUGAAGCAAAAAUCAAAAAACUUCUCCAAGUAACCUUCCUCUAUUUUAAAGUUAAUAAGUGUUAUCAACCUCAACAAUCCCUAUGUUUUUUUUAGUGAAAAGAUUAUAGAUUCUUCCAACUUUUAUCCAAAGAAAAGCUUCUUUUCUUUUUAAAAUAAAAAAGUUUGACUUUUAUCCAGAGAUUCCUUCUGCACUGUGAUGCAGGCAUAGUGAUGAUAGCUUAAAGGAAUUACAUAAUUGUUUGUACUAUCAGAAGUAGACACCAUCAAGCCAGUUUUUACUAGCAGUAUCAAUAUGGGCCUUGUAACUUCCACAGCAAUAUCUUUUAAUUCUAUUAGGCUAUGUUUGUUUGCAAGGAGUACACUUGGGAUAGGACUAUUAAUUUCAAGUGUCUUGUUUGUUUUUAAAUUUGAGCUUGGGACUAUUAGUCCUGGGAUUAUAAAAUAGCUUAAGAUGAGGUAUUAUUUAAUAUCAUGUUCUACCUGGUAUUCUAAUCCCUAGCAUUUGGGAUUAAAAAUUGUUAGACAAAAUUAACCUCAAUCUUUUUCUAAAAUGACCAUCAUAUCCUGCAAUGAUUCCAUGUGGUCUUUUAAUAUUGUGCUAUUUUAGCUAAACCACAUUCUCCAAUGAUUUGCAAUCUUAUGAGAUAAAAUAUUUGCUUUCAAAUUACAAUAUAUAGGAUCAUUUUUCACUUUGAAGUCAGUUGAAAUAUUUAUAUUUGCAUAUUCAAAAUUGAUAUAAAUUCGUUUAAUUUAAUAUAAUACAAUUAAGAAAAUUGUAACUAUUUAAAAGUGCUACUAAUUACAAUAUUUAUUGUUUUCAAAAAAUCACUUCAAUGUUGAAUUUACAAAAAUCUCAUUAACUUUGAAUAAUCAAAUGUGAU